Non-coding RNA from Schistosoma mattheei, 45 nucleotides. NCBI's taxonomy places the organism in Eukaryota, Metazoa, Platyhelminthes, Trematoda, Strigeidida, Schistosomatidae. The record is from Rfam.
AUCCAACUGACGAGUCCCAAAUAGGAAGAAACACGCAUCCUGAAU